This 433-nucleotide ribosomal RNA is filed under the name uncultured bacterium. RNAcentral's name for it is "partial 16S ribosomal RNA". It matches the Rfam family "Bacterial small subunit ribosomal RNA", at positions 29 to 507 of the family's 1533-position model. The record is from RNAcentral.
AACGAACGCUGGCGGCAUGCCUAACACAUGCAAGUCGAACGAGACCUUCGGGUCUAGUGGCGCACGGGUGCGUAACGCGUGGGAACCUGCCCUUAGGUUCGGAAUCACUCCCCGAAAGGGGUGCUAAUACCGGAUAAUGUCUUCGGACCAAAGAUUUAUCGCCUUUGGAUGGGCCCGCGUUGGAUUAGCUAGUUGGUAGGGUAAAAGCCUACCAAGGCGACGAUCCAUAGCUGGUCUGAGAGGAUGAUCAGCCACACUGGGACUGAGACACGGCCCAGACUCCUACGGGAGGCAGCAGUGGGGAAUAUUGGACAAUGGGCGAAAGCCUGAUCCAGCAAUGCCGCGUGAGUGAUGAAGGCCUUAGGGUUGUAAAGCUCUUUUACCCGGGAUGAUAAUGACAGUACCGGGAGAAUAAGCGCCGGCUAACUCCGUG